Long non-coding RNA from Pantherophis guttatus, 638 nucleotides. RefSeq lists it as uncharacterized. The record is from RefSeq and is a predicted model, not a curated record. NCBI's taxonomy places the organism in Eukaryota, Metazoa, Chordata, Lepidosauria, Squamata, Colubridae.
CUCCAGGCUGAGAUCCUCAGUUAACCAAGGCUCUCUUGAGAGUUAUAAAAGAUUGGAAGGCAGUCAGCCCGUCUUCAACAGAGUCAGCAGCUGCUAAUUGUCUAACAGUGCAAAGGUCAGUGUUGACUCCUGGUGACUACUUGGACAAGUCUGUUGUGGCCCCGCCCUCUGAGCCUGUCCCAUCGGAGGAAGAAAGCUCCGAGCAUGAGGAAGAGGAGUCAGCCAGGCCUCCCUCUCCAGGCCCCUCCCCUCUGGCACUGUCUCAGGUGCUGGCCGAGGGAGAGGAGAUUAGCAGGGAGACAGGUGGCUCGGAUGAGAGCGAAGGAGAAACAUCAUUCCUGGACGCACGCCUCCGAAGGCGUGAUAAACGAUUGCAGCAGCUCAGGAGGCGUGCUAGGGAUUAGAACUGAGUCACUGGACCACACCCCAGAAACGAUAUAAUAGAGGGUGGUGGCCAGUGAUCCUUGUGACGAACAAAACUAAACCUUGGAUAGUCACUAAAGCCUCGUUCGGAACUGCUGGGAGGAAUAUUUAUUGUUGUUGGACUUUUGGACGCUGAGUAUAUUAUCUUUCUGUUUCUGUGGAAAUAAAGCACUUGGCAGACGGCAUGUAUAUCGCUGUCAAGUUGGAGAUAAAGA